This 440-nucleotide ribosomal RNA is filed under the name uncultured bacterium. Its description in RNAcentral is "partial 16S ribosomal RNA". It matches the Rfam family "Bacterial small subunit ribosomal RNA", at positions 338 to 795 of the family's 1533-position model. The record is from RNAcentral.
CCUACGGGUGGCAGCAGUGGGGAAUAUUGCACAAUGGGGGAAACCCUGAUGCAGCGACGCCGCGUGAAGGAAGAAGUAUUUCGGUAUGUAAACUUCUAUCAGCAGGGAAGAAAAUGACGGUACCUGACUAAGAAUCCCCGGCUAACUACGUGCCAGCAGCCUCGGUAAUACGUAGGGGGCAAGCGUUAUCCGGAUUUACUGGGUGUUAUGGGGGCGUAGGCGGUUUAGCAAGUCAGAAGUGAAAGCCCGGGGAUCAACUCCGGGACUGCUUUUGAAACUGUUGAACUAGAUUGCAGGAGAGGUAAGGGGAAUUCCUAGUGUAGCGGUGAAAUGCGUAGAGAUUAGGAGGAACACCAGUGGCGAAGGCGGCCUGCUGGACUGCAACUGACGUUGAGGCCCGAAAGCGUGGGGAGCAAACAGGAUUAGAUACCCGAGUAGUC